CAGUAGCCGCGGUAAUACGGAGGGUGCAAGCGUUAUCCGGAUUUAUUGGGUUUAAAGGGUCCGUAGGCGGACUUAUAAGUCAGUGGUGAAAGCCUGUCGCUUAACGAUAGAACUGCCAUUGAUACUGUAAGUCUUGAGUAUAUUUGAGGUAGCUGGAAUAAGUAGUGUAGCGGUGAAAUGCAUAGAUAUUACUUAGAACACCAAUUGCGAAGGCAGGUUACCAAGAUAUAACUGACGCUGAGGGACGAAAGCGUGGGUAGCGAACAGGAUUAGAUACCCGAGUAGUCCCUGUCUCUUAUAA
Molecule: ribosomal RNA, 301 nt
Filed under: uncultured bacterium
Lineage: Bacteria
Description: partial 16S ribosomal RNA
Rfam family: Bacterial small subunit ribosomal RNA
Source: RNAcentral